AACGAACGCUGGCGGCAUGCCUAACACAUGCAAGUCGAACGGAACCGCCGUGCUUUUGUGCGCUUCUCGGGUGGCGGACGGGUGAGUAACACGUAAGUAACGUACCCUUCACUCUGGGGUAACUUAAGGAAAGUUGGUCUAAUCCCGGCUAGGAUCUCCCGCUGCAUGGUGGGGGUUGGAAAGUUUAGGCGGUUGGGGAUGGACUCGCGGCUGAUGGGCUUGUUGGUUGGGUAGUGGGAUACCAAGGCUGUGACGGGUAGCCGGCAUGCGAGGGCGACCGGCCACAUUGGGACUGAGAUACGGCCCAGACUCGAACGGGAGGCAGCAGUGGGGAAUAUUGCACAAUGGGAGGGAGCCUGAUGUAGCAACGCCGCGUGCGGUAUGACGGCCUGCGGGUAGGAAACCGCAUCUGCCUGAGACGAAGCGUGAGUGACGGUAAUGGGUAAAGAAGCACCGGCUAACUACGUG
Molecule: ribosomal RNA, 468 nt
Filed under: uncultured bacterium
Lineage: Bacteria
Description: partial 16S ribosomal RNA
Rfam family: Bacterial small subunit ribosomal RNA
Source: RNAcentral